Molecule: ribosomal RNA, 599 nt
Filed under: uncultured bacterium
Lineage: Bacteria
Description: bacterial SSU rRNA
Rfam family: Bacterial small subunit ribosomal RNA
Source: RNAcentral
AACAGGAUUAGAUACCCUGGUAGUCCUCUCCGUAAACGAUAAGUGCUAAGUGUUAGAGGGUUUCCGCCCUUUAGUGCUGCAGCAAACGCAUUAAGCACUCCGCCUGGGGAGUACGGCCGCAAGGCUGAAACUCAAAGGAAUUGACGGGGGCCCGCACAAGCGGUGGAGCAUGUGGUUUAAUUCGAAGCAACGCGAAGAACCUUACCAGGUCUUGACAUCUCCUGACAACCCUAGAGAUAGGGCGUUCCCCUUCGGGGGACAGGAUGACAGGUGGUGCAUGGUUGUCGUCAGCUCGUGUCGUGAGAUGUUGGGUUAAGUCCCGCAACGAGCGCAACCCUUGAUCUUAGUUGCCGGCAUUCAGUUGGGCACUCUAAGGUGACUGCCGGUGACAAACCGGAGGAAGGUGGGGAUGACGUCAAAUCAUCAUGCCCCUUAUGACCUGGGCUACACACGUGCUACAAUGGAUGGUACAAAGGCUGCAAGACCGCGAGGUUAAGCGAAUCCCAUAAAACCAUUCUCAGUUCGGAUUGCAGGCUGCAACUCGCCUGCAUGAAGCUGGAAUCGCUAGUAAUCGCCGAUCAACAUGCCGCGGAGAAAAC